CGCGUAGGCGGUUUUACAAGUCAGAUGUGAAAGCCCUCGGCUCAACCGGGGACGUGCAUUUGAAACUGUGAGACUUGAGUAUUGGAGGGGGUGGUGGAAUUCCCGGUGUAGAGGUGAAAUUCGUAGAUAUCGGGAGGAAUACCGGUGGCGAAGGCGACCACCUGGCCAAAUACUGACGCUGAGGUGCGAAAGCGUGGGGAGCAAACA
RNAcentral lists this ribosomal RNA (207 nucleotides) under uncultured delta proteobacterium. RNAcentral's name for it is "partial 16S ribosomal RNA". It matches the Rfam family "Bacterial small subunit ribosomal RNA", at positions 568 to 774 of the family's 1533-position model. The record is from RNAcentral. Lineage: Bacteria; Deltaproteobacteria.